Molecule: transfer RNA, 67 nt
Filed under: Loxodonta africana (African savanna elephant)
Lineage: Eukaryota; Metazoa; Chordata; Mammalia; Proboscidea; Elephantidae
Rfam family: tRNA
About the family: Transfer RNA (tRNA) molecules are approximately 80 nucleotides in length.
Source: Rfam by way of RNAcentral
AGUGGCACAGUGGUUAAGUGCUUGGCUGCUAACCAAAAGGCCGGUGGUUUGAAUCCACCAGACACUC